Molecule: long non-coding RNA, 4942 nt
Filed under: Megachile rotundata (alfalfa leafcutting bee)
Lineage: Eukaryota; Metazoa; Arthropoda; Insecta; Hymenoptera; Megachilidae
Description: uncharacterized LOC105662153, transcript variant X1
Source: RNAcentral
UGGCAAUCGAUUCUUUCAAGGAUCUUGAAGACGCUCCCAACGAUCGGUCGAUCACCAUUCGUCGAUCGUGACACUCACUACUUACUCCAGAUACGAUGGGAUGUCACCGUUGUCUAACCGAACGCACCCCUUCCGAGAACAAUCAAACGGCGCUUACGAUCGCCACCAAAGAUAAAUUAUACCGUAGCCGAGAGUUAUUUGAAUAGAAACUGACCGCGCAUCCCGGGCGAAUCCUCAUAUUUUCUCGCAAUGCCGCCCGUCGGGCUCGGGCUGCUUACUCUUGUUCCCUAAGUGCAGGAAAACGUAAGUUACUUCGCCCAAUCAGCGGAACGCCGUAGUUAUAUAGGCGCGUAUUCCUCCCCCAGUGCUAUCGUCGGAGAUGGUUCGCGAUGUGCUGGGCCAGCUGUUGCGAAGGUGGUGGUAAAGUCGUCCUGGUGGAGGAGGCAUUUCGCGUUGCUGGAGGAAAGGAACUCACGAUGGUGGUGGGUUCCAACGGACACGGGUUACGGAAAGCUCGAAUCUCGUGUAGCGAUGGGCCCGAUCUCCUACUUGUUCAUUCUAUCUGAACUAGAAGUAAUGAUAUCUACAUGGCAGUGAAAUUUUAUGAAGGAUGACCGAAUUAAGAGACUACAUUCAAAACCAUAGUACAUAUUUAACGUGUAUCAUGAAAUCUGAAGAGCAUUUUUAAUUAUAAGGAAUUCUGUAUGUCUUUACAGAAUUGUAAAGGAUUAUAAAAGGAGGAGAAGAGUAUCCGUGGUAUUAAUCUCUACAUCGUAUCAAUAGGAAAUUGAUCCCAUCGCUACGUCCAUUCUCCUUCCUCCUCGCCUUUGUCCACCUCCUACGAACCUGGCGAUCUUACUUCGUGCCACAGUGGGCCCAUCGUUCCGGAGAAAGUGAUCGGGAACACGAUGAUCCGGUCGAGCGAGCCAGGCGGUUUCGUUCCCUUGGUAUUUACGCGCCUGUGUCCGGCAAAAACGAAGUUCAUGGGGAGGCAAGGUUAUGUAGCAAGGUUAUACCCGGUGAUCCAGAUUACCUGCAGACGGGAGAGUGGUGGAACCAGUUGGAGCGCGGCAACUAGCGUUUGACGAAAUUCUUUUUUACCCUUUUUACGGUUCAUUCGAUUUCAGAAUAGCGUCAGGCGAUUUCUCUUCCGGGAAGCCCUCGGGCCUGGGCCAUUGCUUUUCCUUUUGCGGAUUGUUUUCGACGAUGAUUGCCCUCAAGGGGUAAUCGAAACGAUUAAGAAAUGUUAGAGAUCGGCAGGUUGAACAUUUGCGGUGUAUGGAGGAUCCGCUCAGCGAAUUUCACUUUGCUUUCGAAAGAACAAAAGGGAAUACAUCAGGUACAAAACUAUUUGUUUAAAAUAAAUAGUAAAAGCGUGAAAAGCGUCCCCACAAAUUAAAGGAACUAAUUAUCGCUGCUAGGCACAAUCGAUGCUUCCAGGAAUAGUCUCUUCUCCGCGAUGAAUGAUUAUAACCUUCCCCGGUUCGCACGAUUUCUAACGAUUCCUCUUUCAUUAAUUAAACAUGCAAACACAGGCUUCCGACCGUAGACGUCAACGAUACCGUUGGCACAAUUUUAUUGAUCAUUAAGUGAUUCAAUCCCAGCAUGGCAAAGCCACACGCAGCGUUUAUAAUCAGCUUACGCGAAGAGGAAGAGGAUGUUACCGAUAAGCUUUCGCAAGAUUGAAUCUUCGUAAAAGGAACACGACGAUGUAGCGUUUUAUUUGAAAAGCUCAUAAUCACGGAUGCCUGCACGGGUGAAAGUAUAUACAUACCGAAGGAAGAAAAUUUAUAACGUAAAAGCAACAGGCCUGCAGACCGAGGAAUUACGAGGCAAAUUUUACGGAGUCGAGCAAUUACGAGAUACAGGUCAAUUUCACUGGAUCAAUUUUGCAAUUUAACGGAUAGACGUCGAGGGAGACGCUAGAGGAACUUGGACGUCGUUUCAGGAAGUUAUCCACGGUGACGAGUCACUCGACUCGAUCCGCUAACAAGCUGAAAGCGAUAAGUGGUUAAAUUCGCACAAGAUACAUUCGUGUAUUUGUCGGAUGAAAGCGAAUUCUUUGCUUUACUGCGGACAGCUAGGAGUAUAUUACAUGAAAUUGUUAGAAUACGUUCCAGCAAUUCCGAAUUCGUUGCAUCAAUCUUAGAAAAUAAUGUAAAUCUCAUUAUUCUCUAAAUAUAAAAAAGUCCACUAAAAAUAUACAAACUAUAUUAGUCGCACACAAAAAGUAUUAAACACCGAUAACAAAGUCAUUUUAAAUAUUUGUAAUAACAGUCAACACAGUAACGAGUGUAUACUCUGUAGAUGUCAAUAAAUAUUCGGAGAGAUUGUAUCUAAUGUAACGUAUAUUGUUUGCUCAGCGCGUGGGUAGAACUAAAAGAGCGACGUUUGAAACAUUCCAAAGACGAUAGCAAAUAAAAGAGCAUGUGUUUGAGGAAUUUUUAUUUGCACUCUAAGUGUUCGGUUUAUGGACGAGUACCUACGAUUCACUUUCUAAACGUGCCGUCCCUCAAGGUAGUUGAUAUCGCUUUUCGAAAUGUCUAGCUGUUCGAUAUUUGGGUUACGUUCACCUGCUAAGUCUUCAUGGAAAAUAAAUAAUUGCGACAUUUUCUUAGGAAACGUUGGACCCGUUGACUGAUAUAGAGCGAGAGUUUUGUUCCGUUUAUGGUAUCUUUUGUAAGCUUAGAAUAUUUUAAGCUUGUAAGCAGAUAUUUCAUUUGGAAGAGAAUGAAUCAUCGCUCAUGAAGGAAUGUCAUUCUACUUUUGCAUCAAUUCUGAAAUCGUGUUUUUGCGUGUCUCACCAUGGGUAAUCAGUUUAAAUCUUUACACGAAUUUCUCCUUUAGUGAUUUCUUCGCCAUGCCCCUAUCUUGAAGUCGACAAUAAUCCAUCGAGAGACUCGACAUAUAGAAGAAAGUUUUAUCCUUCGUAUUUUCCACUCGAUACAUAUCUUUCGUUUCUUCUUACCUCGUGAUUUUGCUUUCUACCAUAACGUAUAUUACAAAUUGAUGGAAAAAGCUGAAGAAUCAUGGAUUAAACUAUCAUCAGCUGUUUCGUGGGAAGCAUUGGAACGCAUUUACGAUUCAAUUAUAGGAACACUUCGUUCUUCGUGACUCGAGAACACAUUUCAAGAUGUCUUCGGUGUCAGCAUAUGUUGUGGAAUCAGAUACUCUGUUAUUGAGUCUAUUAAUCCGGAGGAUAAAUAACGCAGCACGUCCCGAAGAAGAAACAGCCUUAUUUACUUUCUUCAACUCUUUUUACUUCUUCGAGUAUUGUUUGUACACAAGAGCAGUUUAUAUCUUGUUUAUACACCACGCACAAAGAAUCAGAAAGAUCAGUGAAAACUUGUACUGCUAUCAACUAUUGACGCAUUUAUCAUAAAUCGCCAUUAAUCUUGUGAGCACAAUUAUAUCUUUCUGCGCCAAAAAACCUUCCAUUUGUCUUGGACUUUUGAAGCCUGUAAUUUGGUGCCAGUGAAAGGCGCCGGAGAUGAUUUCAUGCCGGCGGUCGCACACACGCACUGUUCGCAUGACCAUAUAAACAAACGGUUAUCACGUUACCUAAUCGUUACCACUAGCCACCCAUUGUCAAUUAACACGUAGCCCGGACAUUUCGCCAAUUAAAGCGAUCGUGCGAAUCCAUUUCGCUAAAAUGGGAGAAAGAAAGGAUUAUGGAAAUUUUAAAUGCUUGUUUGUCUUAGGUCGAAACUUUCAUUGUUGUCCAAGCUUGAAGUUGCACUCUUUUGAGAGCAAACACGUAACUUGUCUGGUACAAUGAAACUAAAUGUAUACUUUUUAAUUGACUUACUUUAUUAUUAACUUUUCAAGUGUGCGUUUCACGGCCCACAUGAUCGUACAUUAGCAUAUUUCUGUCUAAUCUCGGAAUAUCCGCUUGUUCCGUCGGGUUCAGUGAAAGUAACAAAAGCGAGCGGGCGAUUAAUGUAACAUCCGUGAUUCGGUUAAUCUGAUCAUUACAGUUCCUAAACCCAACUGGGACUGUUUUUAAUUAAUACGUGGACACUCAGGAGAAAGGUAUUUCGUUCCUCGGAGUAUCAUGGUUCAUGAUAUUAAUAGAACAAAAUUACAUUUGCAGGUAGUAGGAUGUUCGCCAGGAAAGUCUCCAAGUAUCAUAAUAGAACCGUUUAGAAAAUACAAAGUCAUGCUUUCUAAUCGCUGCGUUUAAUUAUCAAUCACUAGACCGAUUAACGAUCAUUACAAGGCAAUACAAACUGUACGAUUUUCUUUUUAGGAUACAAAACCGGAUGCUCCGCUCUCACAAAGUUUAGGAAGCCACGGAAUUGCAGGCAUUUUUAUGCUGUCUUGCAUGAGAUUUCAAAACGAGGGUGAACAAAGAAACACGGUACAUACACAAAAUGUAAUUGUCACUGGAGAGUGUCAGAAUGCGCUAAUCGUCUAGCAAGCAGGAUCAACUUUCACAUAUUGUAACAACUUCAUGAACAUCAUGACGGUGAAACUGCGACGAAGAGGAAACGCGUAUCCGCGAGGUCAUCAAGUUCAGACUACCCUUUUCCCAUGUGACUCGGUCUUCUCUUUCCUGGUUGUUGAGACGAUUUCCUCGAUGGGAAAGUCACGGUCAUGUAACGUGGCCAUCCUCCGCCGCAUCUACAGAGAUGCCAUCCGUUUUCGACGUACGACAACGAACGUGCACACGCUUCCGCUGUAACGAACGAGUAGAGAGUAGAGGAAGCAGCGGAGACGAACCUACCAGGUCGAGAGUGAAACUGUUCGAUGCAACGUGAUUGCACCCAAUUAAGAAACUUCUUGAAUCAACAGUUUUCGAACCGGUGUAUCGGGUUUUGCGCGGCGGUCGUGAAAAUAUUCUUUAACUUAAUGGUUCAACUUGUUGGAAAAUCACGCAUGUUCUGACGCUCGCUGUGCACUGGUACCCAAGAUAUACGCUUCUUCCCACCACGUACCAGUU